UAUCGUUAGUUGUGCAUAGGCGUUUUUUCCCGGAAAUUAUUUGGGUGGUAAAGCGGCGCGUAAGGCGGUUUUUUAAAGUCGGAUGGGAAAGGCUCACGGCUCAACCGUGGAGGGUCAUUGGAAACUGGAAAACUGAGUGCAGAAGAGGAAAGUGGAAUUCCAUGGGAGCGGUGAAAUGCGCAGAGAUAUGGAGGAGCAUCAGUGGCGAAGGCGACUUUCUGGUCUGUAACUGACGCUGAUGUGCGAAAGCGUGGGGAUCAAACAGGAUUAGAUAUCCUGGUAGUCCACGCCGUAAACGAUGAGUGCUAAGUGUUAGGGAGGUUUCCGCCCCUUAGUGCUGCAGCUAACGCAUUAAGCACUCCGCCUGGGGAGUACGACCGCAAGGUUGAAACUCAAAGGAAUUGACGGGGACCCGCACAAGCGGUGGAGCAUGUGGUUUAAUUCGAAGCAACGCGAAGAACCUUACCAAAUCUUGACAUCCUUUGACCCUUCUAGAGAUAGAAGUUUCCCCUUCGGGGGACAAAGUGACAGGUGGUGCAUGGUUGUCGUCAGCUCGUGUCGUGAGAUGUUGGGUUAAGUCCCGCAACGAGCGCAACCCUUAAGCUUAGUUGCCAUCAUUAAGUUGGGCACUCUAAGUUGACUGCCGGUGACAAACCGGAGGAUGUGGGGAUGACGUCAAAUCAUCAUGCCCCUUAUGAUUUGGGCUACACACGUGCUACAAUGGACAUACAAAGGGCAGCGAAACCGCGAGGUCAAGCAAAUCCAUAAAGUUGUUCUCAGUUCGGAUUGUAGUCUGCAACUCGACUACAUGAGCUGAUCGCUAGUAUCGUAGAUCAGCAUGCCUACGUGAAUACGUUCCGGAUCUUGGUAACACACCGCCCGUAAUCGAAUUCCCGCCGACG
Molecule: ribosomal RNA, 902 nt
Filed under: uncultured Staphylococcaceae bacterium
Lineage: Bacteria; Bacillati; Bacillota; Bacilli; Caryophanales; Staphylococcaceae
Description: bacterial SSU rRNA
Rfam family: Bacterial small subunit ribosomal RNA
Source: RNAcentral